AUGCAGUCGAGCGGGGAGGGUAGCUUGCUACCUGACCUAGCGGCGGACGGGUGAGUAAUGCUUAGGAAUCUGCCUAUUAGUGGGGGACAACAUUCCGAAAGGAAUGCUAAUACCGCAUACGCCCUACGGGGGAAAGCAGGGGAUCUUCGGACCUUGCGCUAAUAGAUGAGCCUAAGUCAGAUUAGCUAGUUGGUGGGGUAAAGGCCUACCAAGGCGACGAUCUGUAGCGGGUCUGAGAGGAUGAUCCGCCACACUGGGACUGAGACACGGCCCAGACUCCUACGGGAGGCAGCAGUGGGGAAUAUUGGACAAUGGGCGAAAGCCUGAUCCAGCCAUGCCGCGUGUGUGAAGAAGGCCUUUUGGUUGUAAAGCACUUUAAGCGAGGAGGAGGCUACCGAGAUUAAUACUCUUGGAUAGUGGACGUUACUCGCAGAAUAAGCACCGGCUAACUCUGUGCCAGCAGCCGCGGUAAUACAGAGGGUGCGAGCGUUGAUCGGAUUUACUGGGCGUAAAGCGUGCGUAGGCGGCUUUUUAAGUCGGAUGU
Molecule: ribosomal RNA, 544 nt
Filed under: uncultured bacterium
Lineage: Bacteria
Description: bacterial SSU rRNA
Rfam family: Bacterial small subunit ribosomal RNA
Source: RNAcentral